Molecule: ribosomal RNA, 250 nt
Filed under: uncultured bacterium
Lineage: Bacteria
Description: partial 16S ribosomal RNA
Rfam family: Bacterial small subunit ribosomal RNA
Source: RNAcentral
GAUGACUAGCUGUCGGGGCUCUUGGAGUUUCGGUGGCGCAGCUAACGCGUUAAGUCAUCCGCCUGGGGAGUACGGCCGCAAGGUUAAAACUCAAAGAAAUUGACGGGGGCCUGCACAAGCGGUGGAGCAUGUGGUUUAAUUCGAAGCAACGCGCAGAACCUUACCAGCGUUUGACAUGGUAGGACGGUUUCUGGAGACAGAUUCCUUCCCUUACGGGACCUACACACAGGUGCUGCAUGGCUGUCGUCAG